This is a long non-coding RNA of Carassius gibelio (silver crucian carp), 2143 nucleotides long. RefSeq lists it as uncharacterized. Lineage: Eukaryota; Metazoa; Chordata; Actinopteri; Cypriniformes; Cyprinidae. The transcript has 2 exons. The record is from RefSeq and is a predicted model, not a curated record.
UUGCAGCCUGCAGAGAUCAACACAGAAGUGUGAGUGAUAUAUAACAACACAGUUACUUAUGACAGGGGUUUUCAGACUAGGAUUAUGGAGAGAGAAAAAAAUAAAAUGUACCAAAUUUGAAAUUUGAAUUUAAAAAAGACAUAUUCCAAAACUACUGUAAGUUUAAAAAAGUAUUAUUAACGUAUGAUAAUGUUUCAGAGGACCCCCAAAUUAUAUAUAUAUAAAACUGUGGAAGAAAGUAUAUUUUUUCUGUAAUGUUUUUCUCUACAAAAAAUGCUGUUUUUUAUUUGAAUCCAAAUCUCAAGCAGAUGUUGUCUUCCUAAUAGGACAUGUUUUCUUACACAGUAUACAUGGAUCUUUAUUCAUAAAAUUAAUGUUUAUAAAUUAUAUAAUGCCAAUUAUGCUAAAAAUAAAAUUUUUCCAGAUUCAGUUAUAGUAAGGAUUGAAACAUGAACCCCUAACCCUGAUCCAUCCUUAAAAAUAAGUACAAAUUCUGGCAAUAAAUUAAUUCUAGAGAGCCUCAGACCGGAUUCAUUACAAAACAAUAUUUAUUUUACAAUUGUUAACAGAGUUGUUCUGUGAUUUUUCAGAGGACCCCCAAAUUAUUAUUAUUAUUAUUUUUUUUUAAGUUUUUUUUUUUUCUUUUUUUUUUGAUUUUGUGGAGAGAAAAUUCUGUGUUUGAUUCAAAUUAAAAUCACAAAAAUGUUGUCUUAAUAAUACGUUGCUUAAUUUUUUUUCUCACAUAGUAUAAAUGAGAAUUUCUACAUUAAAUGAUGUACAUGCAACUGUUUUGUAACUAACAUUCUUCAAAAUAUCUUAUUUUGUGUUCAGCAGAAGAGACGGAGCUUUGUAGAAAUCAGUGCGUUUCAGAAAGACACGGCAGAGAGGAGCGACAAUAAAGUACGCUCUUCUUUCAGUUCUGUCACGACGCUGAGCAGAGACGAAGGGCUUUCUUCUGCAUCUCCGUCUUCCUCCACGACUCUAAUGACCGGUGUGAUACAGAACAAUCCGCUCGCACGCGUCUCCUCAGCAUCCUCCUGGAGUUCCUCAGGCUUCACCUCCUCCUCGCUCCGUCUGUCUUCUGUCCCCAGCGGCUCGCUCGAGUCUGUGACGGAGAUCUCACAGGACGAGCUGGACCACGGCGUGCUGUCCACACUCAGACUCGAUGAAGACGUGAUGUUGUCGUAAGUAGACAGUCUCUGAGAGGAGCCCGAGUCCCUGGAGCGUUCCCCAGCUGAGGUUCGGCGGUGUCCCCUCAGUGAGGACAGACCGUUCAUUAACCAGUUCCCACCGUCCACCGCGGAGCCUCUGAAGGUGUGCUUCCAUCCCGGAAGUGUCUUGGCCUGCUUACUAGGGCUGACGGCUGUCUCUCCCUUCCCCUGAGACGAGGUGUGGAGAUCCUCCUCAGAGAUCACGUCCACCAGGUCGGACUGCUGAAGUUGCUGGCUUUGGUCCUCGAGCUCCGUCUGGUUCUGUGAUGUUUCUGAGGGUUUCUCAGUGUACAGGUGCUCGUGAUUACUGAUGAGCAGCGUCAUGAGAUGCUGAACAAGGGAGGUGCCUAUAACACACACACACACACACACACAUACACACACACAAGCAUAAAACGCCUCUUAUACUGCAUGCAUGGGGAAUGGCUGAACAUGCAAGAUCCACUAGCCAAUUUUCAUUAGCAAUUUCCUCUUAAUCAGAGAGGAUACGGGGUCCCAGGACCCCUAAUGUUGUCAUGACAUAACAUCUUCAUCAGGGAACAAGGGUUGCAUACAUAACCCAGACGUUGCACAUUAUAAUGUUUACACAUUUUCCAGACAAUAAGUCGCACUGGGUCAAAACUGCAUUGUUGAGAGGAAAAACGUUGCAUUGGGUUAUAGGUGAAAUUUUAUUAGUACAUUUAGAAAAAAAUUACAAUGCACUGUAAAAACAAUUUAUUGAAGUUCUAAAUAAAACAAAAAAAAAUAUUUGGAGUAUCUUUACAAAAUAAUUCAGUAUCUUUACUUGUUUCAGUCCUGCUACUUAAAACAAUGUCAUGAUUAAUUUAGUUUUGUACUUGCCAUUUCUUUGUAAAUGCUUAUACAAUUUGGGUGUACAACUGAUUUCUAACAUAUGUGACAUGAAAUAAAAUUAUUUUUUUAAUAUUAUGAAA